RNAcentral lists this unclassified non-coding RNA (300 nucleotides) under fungal sp. RNAcentral describes it as "partial internal transcribed spacer region". The stretch from base 1 to 46 matches the Rfam family "Eukaryotic small subunit ribosomal RNA", at positions 1786 to 1831 of the family's 1831-position model. The record is from RNAcentral. Lineage: Eukaryota; Fungi.
AAGUCGUAACAAGGUUUCCGUAGGUGAACCUGCGGAAGGAUCAUUAUUGAGUUUUGAAGUGGGCUUGAUGCUGGCGCCUUAACUGGAUGCAUGUGCUCAGCCCCGCUCUCAAAUCCAUUCAACACCUGUGCACUUUCAAAGUUGUAGUCCUCCUUCAUUGGAGCCGUGGGUUGUAAUGGACCUGCUGGGACUUGCACUUUGCCAAUUUAUCACAAACUGUUUGCAAUGUUUUGUAGAAUGUGUUAGCCUUUGAUUAGGUGAAACUUUAUACAACUUUCAACAACGGAUCUCUUGGCUCUC